GUCAACACGCACGUAAACUAGCUAAUAUAGCCGAAAUCUUAAAAAUCAGUCUUCUAACUGGAAUUUCUACUUACCCCUGAUUGAAACACCUUUCAAACUAGAUUCUCAGGUUACCAAUUUGACUCAAAUUAGUUUGGAAACCUGCUACGAACAAAGAAUCCCAAACUGCAUCAAUUCGUACUAAUAAACUUCAUAUAGUUUCUAAAUUUCAUCAUAACUAACAAAUUAUCUUUGUCCAUCUUUGGAGCAGCUCAUCCCUGGUCUAAGAUGGUUCAAUCACAGCUAAAUAACUUCUCUUUAGCUGCUGAAAUUGCCCUCGAACUCAGCUGGGAGCAACAAAACCAAAACUACUCAAAAUCCAAUACUAAACUUCCAAUUA
Molecule: long non-coding RNA, 379 nt
Filed under: Ananas comosus (pineapple)
Lineage: Eukaryota; Viridiplantae; Streptophyta; Magnoliopsida; Poales; Bromeliaceae
Description: long non-coding RNA (ACOM_LNC039346)
Source: RNAcentral